Lathyrus oleraceus (garden pea) is the source of this 1554-nucleotide long non-coding RNA. RefSeq lists it as uncharacterized. NCBI's taxonomy places the organism in Eukaryota, Viridiplantae, Streptophyta, Magnoliopsida, Fabales, Fabaceae. The record is from RefSeq and is a predicted model, not a curated record. The transcript is spliced from 3 exons.
UUCAGAGCGUACCUUCAAACUUUCCCCGGAAUGAGCGAUUGUGAGACCUCACGGACCAACUGAAGUCGCUCGCAUUAACCUCGCAUCAUUGACGCCAGUGCGUCGUCGAUAAGGGAGAAGGAUCACCUUCAAUCGGUAACGUGUGGUCGAUGUAGAACUAGAAUCAGCCUCAAUCGAAAAUCCAUCGUCGACGAAAAGCGAGAGUCAAUCUUCAAUCGGAAAUGCGUUGUCGAUGAAAAUUGAUCGUUGACGAUGAUUGGAGUGGAGCGAUGCGUCGCCGCUUGAAAUGGAACGUAGAACGACGAUGCUCGAGUCGAAAGAUGACAAGCGGAAGCGAAUCAAUUCCGAAAAGGUUGGGAGAUUAUUUGAGCGAGAUGACAAAUGUGAGGAUUCAGUUGCGGUAGUCUCCGUGAAUCGUCGGUGAAGGAUUACCGAGCGUCUCCGUUUCUGUUAUUGUUGUUAGCGAUGAAGGUUGAAAAUGGAAUCGCGCAGCAAAUCAGAGAGGAAGUUUUAUCGCCGGUGAUGGAACUGGGAGGUUCUGUGAGUGGUUAAAGUGGUGAUGGCAACGGUUGAAGGUGAAGAAAGAUGGAAGCGUGGUUCUGUUACAGGUUUUUGCAGACGAUGAUGGUGAAGGGGUUUGGUGAGGCUAAGAAUGAAUACGGAGGGUGACGAGUGAAGAAAUUCGAUCUCCCAUUGAGGAUGAAGGAUGAUGGAUACUUAUAGGGUGAGGGUUUCAUUUGGAUUUUAUGCAAGUUUUUUCGUGUUGUCGGCGUUUCCGUUGCGUUGAUGGUGUAUGCUGUAGCUUAUGGUGGCUAGGCGUGGGUUCGCUUUUAAAGCUGCCUUGCCCUGUUACUGCUGUUGUGGCUUUCUUUUUUGACGGAUUGGUUUGCUGCCGUUGGGAUUGCCGGCUUAUGGACCUGCGUUCCGUUGCAGCAAGGGGUGCUACGAGUUGCGUUUUUUGCCGUAGAAGCUGUUUGAUGCUGUUAUAGCUUGUACAGAGUUGGCUUGAGGCUUGUUGUUAAGUUUCGAUGCCUUGCGUGUUUUGGAAUGCUGGCUUUGCGAUGUUACUAGCUGCGUUGGCUGUUGCAGCUUUUGUUUUUCCAUUCGCAGCUUUUUCAAAUUUUCAUUUUUCCCUUCUUCAUUUUAUUUGGAUUUCUUUGUCAUCACCGUUGGAUUAUAAACAUAACAGCUUUGGUGCUGCCGUUUCUGUUUCGCCGUUUUGCACUGCGCUCUGUUUCUGUUGGCUGCAGAUUAUGGUGGUGGCAGCGUUUUGUGCUGAUGCAGUUGUAGCUCGCAUUUUGCUUCGAUGCUGUGGAGUUUUCAUUGCCGUUUCAAUUGGCUUGCGUGUACUAGCUUCCGUGUUUUUGCUGCAUUAUUCCCUCCUUUGUCUUAUUUGAAUGUGGUGUUCGAGUUAGGGAUUAUGGUAGGUAACUUGAUUGUGGAUAUAUAGUGGAUAUUUGGAUAUAAUGGAUAUGGUGUAUUUGGUAUUUGGUUAAUGGUUUUGCUAAGUGGAUUUAAAUGGUUUGGAUAAAUUGGAUUUUGAUUUUUAGAACA